Molecule: long non-coding RNA, 671 nt
Filed under: Anas platyrhynchos (mallard)
Lineage: Eukaryota; Metazoa; Chordata; Aves; Anseriformes; Anatidae
Description: lncRNA (ENSAPLG00020001186.1)
Source: RNAcentral
GCACUGCAGCCACUGGGAAUGGACCUGGAGGGCUGUGGCUUUAGUGGGGGCCCCUGGACUGCACGCUGCGUGCAGUUGGCAUUCUUCACCUGUGCUUCUGAGUUACCUCUUCCAGUUCUGUUUUGUACAAAAGGAAUCCAGUUCGCACACCUGGGGCCUGCUCUGUGAUACAAAGUGCAGCAUGAGCCUGUCAUACAGAAGUACCAUUUUACAGAGCACAGACACAGAGAGAAUUAAUGAUGUGCAUAAGUCUGCGUAAGGAAAUAUGUUACAGAACUGAUCUUGGGUUUUCUCAGCUUACGAUGUUUAGUCACUGGACUGGCUCUCCUCGUGCUCUGCAGCACAGUUACAUUCCUUUCUUGCUGUGGCUCUUGGUCAUCCCAUCCAGCACAUCCAAGGAGGCUGCCACAGAUACAGUGAUCAGACAGGCUAGCAUGACAGUUUUCAUCCUGGAAGAUUUUAGUAAGAUCCCGCUCCACUUGGUAUAUACGUCACAUAAAAGUUCCAGCAAGAAGACCCUUAUUGACCACGUUUUCUCCUUGCAUCCUGAGUUACAGAAUGGUUGGUUGUACACCUGCCUUUGUGAAGUCAGCUGGAGCUCAAAAGUUGGUUGUACUGAGCUUGGACACCACAUUCAGACCAAAGCUAAUCUGCACGUUUUUGUUGAAUGA